RNAcentral lists this ribosomal RNA (479 nucleotides) under uncultured bacterium. Its description in RNAcentral is "partial 16S ribosomal RNA". It matches the Rfam family "Bacterial small subunit ribosomal RNA", at positions 28 to 507 of the family's 1533-position model. The record is from RNAcentral.
GAUGAACGCUAGCGGGAGGCCUAACACAUGCCAGCCGAGCGGAAUGGUUCCUCCGGAAAUGGGGGAGCGGCUAACGGGUGCGUAAAACUUUGGCAACUGCCCUUUAUUGGGGGAAAGCCCUUCGAAAGGAAAAUUAAAACCUCAAUAAAUUUUUGAACGCCAUCGUUUAAUAUGAAAGCCUCGGGCGGUUGGAAAGGGCCCCGCCCAGGAUUAGUUAUUGGGGGAGUAAAGGGCUCACCAAGCCAAGGUUCUUUAGGGGGCUGGAGAGGGUGUUCCCCCACACUGGUACUGAGACCCGGACCAGACUCCUACGGGAGGCAGCAGUGAGGAAUAUUGGUCAAUGGGUGCAAGCCUGAACCAGCCAUCCCGCGUGAAGGACGACUGCCCUAUGGGUUGUAAACUUCUUUUGUAUAGGGAUAAACCUACCCUCGUGAGGGUAGCUGAAGGUACUAUACGAAUAAGCACCGGCUAACUCCGUG